RNAcentral lists this transfer RNA (102 nucleotides) under Lepisosteus oculatus (spotted gar). The stretch from base 1 to 89 matches the Rfam family "tRNA". Rfam says of the family: Transfer RNA (tRNA) molecules are approximately 80 nucleotides in length. Their secondary structure includes four short double-helical elements and three loops (D, anti-codon, and T loops). Further hydrogen bonds mediate the characteristic L-shaped molecular structure. tRNAs have two regions of fundamental functional importance: the anti-codon, which is responsible for specific mRNA codon recognition, and the 3' end, to which the tRNAs corresponding amino acid is attached (by aminoacyl-tRNA synthetases). tRNAs cope with the degeneracy of the genetic code in two manners: having more than one tRNA (with a specific anti-codon) for a particular amino acid; and 'wobble' base-pairing, i.e. permitting non-standard base-pairing at the 3rd anti-codon position. The record is from Rfam by way of RNAcentral. Lineage: Eukaryota; Metazoa; Chordata; Actinopteri; Semionotiformes; Lepisosteidae.
GGCGAGGUGGCCGAGUGGUUAAGGCGAUGGACUGCUAAUCCAUUGUGCUUUGCACGCGUUUCUUGGGCGGAGCGGUGGCUCUGUUGCUAAGGAUCUGCGCCU